GAUGAACGCUAGCGGGAGGCUUAACACAUGCAAGUCGAGGGGCAGCAUAGGGUAGCAAUACUCUGAUGGCGACCGGCAAACGGGUGAGUAACGCGUAUGCAACCUACCCUGUACAGGGGGAUAACCCGGAGAAAUUCGGACUAAUAUCCCGUAAUAAUAUCCGGAGGCAUCUUUGGAUAUUUAAAGUUCCGACGGUACGGGAUGGGCAUGCGUAACAUUAACUGGUUGGUAAGGUAACGGCUUACCAAGGCUAUGAUGUUUAGGGGUCCUGAGAGGGUGGUCCCCCACACUGGUACUGAGACACGGACCAGACUCCUACGGGAGGCAGCAGUGAGGAAUAUUGGUCAAUGGGCGCAAGCCUGAACCAGCCAUCCCGCGUGCAGGAAGACGGCCCUAUGGGUUGUAAACUGCUUUUCCAGGGAGAGAACUUACGCACGUGUUGCGUGACUGACGGUACCCUGGGAAUAAGCAUCGGCUAACUCCGUGCCAGCAGCCGCGGUAAUGA
This 505-nucleotide ribosomal RNA is filed under the name uncultured bacterium. Its description in RNAcentral is "bacterial SSU rRNA". It matches the Rfam family "Bacterial small subunit ribosomal RNA", at positions 28 to 525 of the family's 1533-position model. The record is from RNAcentral.